CCUCUAGGAUGGAUCAGGAUAUGGAUUCUCAACAGGGGCAGACCAACUAGGGAUCUGCCCCACCAGCAAGGACCAGGCAGAAGGGGUGGAAGGGAUGGAAGGGGAAUAGUAUUUGGGAGGGCAGGUAUUCGGUGAGUGAUGAGUCCAGAGUCCACCAGGCUCCUAGGAACAAUUCCGGGAUGCAGUGGUACGGUGGGGUUCUUACCAACUGCUCUGGGUGCAGCAGGUCCUCUAGGAUGGAUCAGGAUAUGGAGUCUUCACAGGAGCAGAGCAACUAGGGGUCUGCCCUAGCAGCAAGAACUGGAUUGAAAGACUUCACAGCAAAUGUCCGUUGCUUGGUCAUUCUGUUCCCUUUGCUGAUGGUCAGCGGCAUUACUGCUUCCUCCACAGUUUCCAGAGGUUUCAGAGGCAAAGGUGGUGAAUGAAUCAUUGAUCUGUACCAACAGCAAUGCCUGAAAAAGGCCAACCACUAUUAUUGCCCUUUGUUUAGGUGAAAGUGUUGAUCAUAUGGAGCUGUGGAUACUUACAGAGGCAGAAAUGCUAGCUAAUCUCUAUCUGCUGAGAGAAAGAACCACAUGACUGACUGCCAUUUUUGCAUAGCAAUUCUACUUGUAAAUAAAUGCCUGAU
Molecule: long non-coding RNA, 628 nt
Organism: Mus musculus (house mouse)
Lineage: Eukaryota; Metazoa; Chordata; Mammalia; Rodentia; Muridae
Product: predicted gene, 32055
Exons: 4
Source: RefSeq, a predicted model, not a curated record